Molecule: ribosomal RNA, 253 nt
Filed under: uncultured bacterium
Lineage: Bacteria
Description: partial 16S ribosomal RNA
Rfam family: Bacterial small subunit ribosomal RNA
Source: RNAcentral
UACAGAGGGUGCGAGCGUUAAUCGGAGUUACUGGGCGUAAAGGGCGCGUAGGCGGUUAGACAAGUGAGAUGUGAAAGCCCUGGGCUUAACCUAGGAAUGGCAUCUUAAACUGUAUGGCUAGAGUGAAGUAGAGGGUAGUGGAAUUUCCGGUGUAGCGGUGAAAUGCGUAGAGAUCGGAAGGAACACCAGUGGCGAAGGCGACUACCUGGACUUCAACUGACGCUGAGGCGCGAGAGCGUGGGGAGCAAACAGG